Molecule: ribosomal RNA, 252 nt
Filed under: uncultured bacterium
Lineage: Bacteria
Description: partial 16S ribosomal RNA
Rfam family: Bacterial small subunit ribosomal RNA
Source: RNAcentral
UACGUAGGUGGCAAGCGUUAUCCGGAUUUAUUGGGUUUAAAGGGUGCGUAGGCGGACGCUUAAGUCAGCGGUAAAAUUGCGGGGCUCAACCUCGUCGAGCCGUUGAAACUGGGUGCCUUGAGUGGGCGAGAAGUACGCGGAAUGCGUGGUGUAGCGGUGAAAUGCAUAGAUAUCACGCAGAACUCCGAUUGCGAAGGCAGCGUACCGGCGCCCAACUGACGCUGAAGCACGAAGGCGUGGGUAUCGAACAGG